UUACUUUCCCAUAGUCCAGAAAAAGCCAAAAAAAAUUAGUAGAUUAGUUUACCCGCAAUCCUAUAAACCCUUUGAACCUUUGCUAGCACUGCUUAGUUGGGGCUUGUUGAGUUUUUGGUUGCAUCGGUUGUGUCGAGUUGCUGGUCUUAGUUUCUUUUCCUUUAGAGUUUUGAGUUCUAUCACGUUUUGGUCACCACGACAUCCAC
RNAcentral lists this long non-coding RNA (206 nucleotides) under Setaria viridis. RNAcentral's name for it is "long non-coding RNA (SVIR_LNC007731)". Lineage: Eukaryota; Viridiplantae; Streptophyta; Magnoliopsida; Poales; Poaceae. The record is from RNAcentral.